AUUUUUGUAUAAUUUUCAGUUCUUAAAAAUUAUUUUAAGAAAAUAUAUGUUGAAAGUUAAAACAGAUGGUUGGGUUUUUUUUUUGUUUUGUUUUGUUUUGUUUUGAGGAGAGAGGAAGCCAAAAAAUGUCACCCCACAUAUUAGAUUCUGGAUAUGCCACUGCCAUCAUAAUCCUCAGAGUAGUCUCCUUGGAAAUUGAUGCAAUAAUCCCAGCAAUUCUUAUGCCAUUAUUUGAAUGCUUUCAGAAAGUUCUCUUCGUUCAUGCUGUUCAGCACAAUCCUGAUUUUUCUUCCUGAAUCUCGGUUGUCCCAAAUCUCUGUUCUUUGAGCUUUGCCUUCAUUCUAAAGGUGAUAAAACAUCACAGAUGGUGAAAUCAGGAAAAUAGGAAGGGCAAAGAAUGGUAACCAUAUUGUUUCUGACCAAAAAUUCCUGUACUUUGAUGUGUAAACUGCAAUAUUAUCAUUUGUGGAUUAUCCAGUUUCCAGUAAUCCACAACUCUGAGCAUUUGAGCUCAUAUAGUGCUACAAAUACUUUAGCAUUGUGGAACAAAUUCCUGCAGAAAAUUCCUUUAUGGUCAACAAACAGAAUCAACGUUUACUUCACAUUUGUUUGACUUGUUGCACUUUAUUGGGGCAUGGAGAUAAUGGACUUUUUCUAUUGUAAUGACUAUUCUGGGCCUAUAAAUUCAGCUUUCAUACCUAGUAAUUACGCAUUUCAAAAAGUUCACAAUCAGCAGUCGUCAUGUCUUUGAGGUCUUGGCAGAUUUGCAUUCAUAGUUUCUUUUCCUUAGCUAUCAGGAUGUAUGAUACCAAAUUUGAUUGCAGUUCAUUUCAUGUUCAAUACAUCAGUCAAAAUACCUUGAAUUGAGCCAUACCUGAUGUUAAGCUUUUUAGCAAUAUUCAAAAUGCCUUGCCAACAAUCUUCAUGAAUUAAUACAUAUACUUUAUUGAAUUUUCAGGAUUAUGCUUGUCGAAGGGCAUCCUGUCUAUUCGUUGUCUUCAAGUGUUUCUUGGCCAUGUUUGAAAUGUCUGCACCAUUCACAGAUUAGUGUUUUGCCUAAAACACAAUCACUGAAUGCCUACUUGAAGCAAUUUCUAUGUUUUUGUAUCCUGUUUUUUAUCAAUUUUGACACAAUUUGAUGCAAAGUUUUUCAUUCAUUUUCAAUGAGGAGGAAGUUAUACAAUACAAUGUUACCUCGCAAUUAGACACUAAUUCAUUACUGUACUAAUGCCCAAUUAAGAACUGUCAAAUUGCGAAACAAUAUUUCAAAAUAUGAGACUUUGGAAGAUAGAUUGGGUUCGACAAUGAAUUAAUCUCGUCCCCCCAAAUGGAGAGGUGAAAGAGAGUAAACUAUAUUAUUUACUUUAUGUAUUUUACUAUUAUAUAACACACUAAAUUAUAAAAUUACACUAUUUUAUAUGCAAUACAGACACUAUUAGCUCUUGGAUGUUGGAAUGAAGUCUUCUUUCUCCUGUUCUACUUUUGAAUCUAUGAAAUCAACCUUGCUUGCUUUAACAUAUAUUAUAUUUCACAUAUAAUAUAGGAAUCUAUUAACAAGUAUAGUAAAAAUGAUCAAAAAUCUGUAUAUUAAUAUUAUCAUUAAAUUUGAUAAUUUUGUUAGCCUAAAAGAUGACAGGAAACUCCUAGCUUUGUAAUACAGUUCUUAAUUUUAUAAAUUUUAUUAGUCCAAAAAUUAGUGGAAUUUAAAAAAAU
Molecule: long non-coding RNA, 1713 nt
Filed under: Androctonus crassicauda
Lineage: Eukaryota; Metazoa; Arthropoda; Arachnida; Scorpiones; Buthidae
Source: RNAcentral